RNAcentral lists this small nuclear RNA (426 nucleotides) under Bergiaria westermanni. RNAcentral's name for it is "partial U2". The stretch from base 2 to 171 matches the Rfam family "U2 spliceosomal RNA". The record is from RNAcentral. Lineage: Eukaryota; Metazoa; Chordata; Actinopteri; Siluriformes; Pimelodidae.
AAUCCGAUUCAAAGUGUAGUAUCUGUUAUCAGCUUAAUAUCUGAUAUGUCCUCUAUAUGAGGACUCUAUAUUAAAUGGAUUUUUAGAGCAGGGAUUUGGAAUUAGAGCUUGCUCUGUCCACUCCACGCAUUGGCCUGGUAUUGCAGUAUCUCCAGGAACGGUACACUCAUUACAAAUGUCAAGAAAAGACAAAGAAAUUUCACAGAGUGACUUUGUAAGUGCUUUAUUUAACUUAACUUAACCUUACUUACUUACUUACUUACUUACUUACUUACUUACUUACUUACUUACUUCACUUCCUUACUUCACUUCCUUACUUCACUUCACUUCACUUCACUUCAUUUACUGCGCAGCUGUGCCCAAUCAGCAGUUAAUCCUCUGUUCCCCUGCACCCAUUGCCCUNNAUUGCUAAGACCGCCUCCUUGC